AUUGAACGCUGGCAGCAGGCUUAACACAUGCAAGUCGAGCGGGGUGAUGGUGCUUGCACUAUCACUUAGCGGCGGACGGGUGAGUAAUGCUUAGGAAUCUGCCUAUUAGUGGGGGACAACAUCUCGAAAGGGAUGCUAAUACCGCAUACGUCCUACGGGAGAAAGCAGGGGAUCACUUGUGACCUUGCGCUAAUAGAUGAGCCUAAGUCGGAUUAGCUAGUUGGUGGGGUAAAGGCCUACCAAGGCGACGAUCUGUAGCGGGUCUGAGAGGAUGAUCCGCCACACUGGGACUGAGACACGGGCCAGACUCCUACGGGAGGCAGCAGUGGGGAAUAUUGGACAAUGGGGGGAACCCUGAUCCAGCCAUGCCGCGUGUGUGAAGAAGGCCUUAUGGUUGUAAAGCACUUUAAGCGAGGAGGAGGCUCUUUUGGUUAAUACCCAAGAUGAGUGGACGUUACUCGCAGAAUAAGCACCGGCUAACUCUGUGCCAGCAGCCGCCGUAA
This 503-nucleotide ribosomal RNA is filed under the name uncultured bacterium. RNAcentral describes it as "partial 16S ribosomal RNA". It matches the Rfam family "Bacterial small subunit ribosomal RNA", at positions 30 to 523 of the family's 1533-position model. The record is from RNAcentral.